Long non-coding RNA from Myripristis murdjan (pinecone soldierfish), 464 nucleotides. RefSeq lists it as uncharacterized. The transcript has 3 exons. The record is from RefSeq and is a predicted model, not a curated record. NCBI's taxonomy places the organism in Eukaryota, Metazoa, Chordata, Actinopteri, Holocentriformes, Holocentridae.
GAAUGAGAUGAGUGCCGCAGCGUCUGAGUGUACGAGGGACGUCUCCGGGCUGCUUUUAGAAACACAAAGAAAGCCGAGAGCUUCGGUCGACAUCAGCAUCAUCGUCAACGCUCACAUCCUCAACGGGCUUUGAGAUGGGAAGUUUUCCUAUUUCCCGGUUGUCAUGAACGCAGCAUCAAGCCAUAGGGUGGACACUGGGGCUCGGACCCCUCCCUCCUCGCUGGCCUGCUGGCCUGUCCACAAGUUAGAGGCUGAUUGAGGGCUUCACACCCCUCUGCGAUGUUGACCCGCCAUAAAUAAAACACACAGAGCCUCACGGGCCCGCCGGACAGACCGCCGAGCAAACACUCCCUAAAUCACAGACUGAUAGAGAAACCAGGGGGAUGCAGGUGAACCUCCACGGCUGUUCGCCUGCCAUCCGAGGAUGGACGACCAUGUGGCUCUGAGUCCAGCCUGGGACCUUC